AAUCACUGGGCUUAAAGAGCACGUAGGCGGAAUACCAAGCGUCUUGUGAAAUCCCUCGGCUCAACCGAGGAAUUGCAGGGCGAACUGGUAUUCUUGAGGCAGGUAAGGGUGAGUGGAACUCUUGGUGGAGCGGUGGAAUGCGUAGAUAUCAAGAGGAACGCCGGAGGUGAAGACGACUCACUGGGCCUGUCCUGACGCUGAGGUGCGAAAGCCAGGGGAGCGAACGGGAUUAGAUACCCCGGUAGUCCUGGCCAUAAACGAUGUCCACUAGGUCGAUGACAUUCUGACAUGGUGUCGGCCGAAAGAAAACCGUUAAGUGGACCGCCUGGGGAGUACGGUCGCAAGGCUAGAACUCAAAGGAAUUGACGGGGGCUCACACAAGCGGUGGAGCAUGUUGCUUAAUUCGAUGCAACGCGAAGAACCUUAUCCUGGGCUUGACAUGCUUGGAUGCCCCCCUGGAAACAGGGAUCGGCUGCCCUUCGGGGUGAAACUUGCACAGGUGCUGCAUGGCUGUCGUCAGCUCGUGUCGUGAGAUGUUGGGUUAAGUCCCGUAACGAGCGAAACCCUUGUCGUUAGUUGCCAGCGGGUCAUGCCGGGGACUCUAACGAGACUGCCGGUGUCAAACCGGAGGAAGGUGGGGAUGACGUCAAGUCCUCAUGGCCUUUAUGCCCAGGGCCGCAAACGUGCUACAAUGGCUGGUACAAACCGACGCGAGACCGCGAGGUGGAGCAAAUCGGAAAAAGCCAGCCCCAGUUCGGAUUGCAGUCUGCAACUCGACUGCAUGAAGUCGGAAUCGCU
This 798-nucleotide ribosomal RNA is filed under the name uncultured organism. Its description in RNAcentral is "bacterial SSU rRNA". It matches the Rfam family "Bacterial small subunit ribosomal RNA", at positions 549 to 1336 of the family's 1533-position model. The record is from RNAcentral.